UACGGGGGGUGCGAGCGUUGUCCGGAAUCACUGGGCGUAAAGGGCGCGUAGGUGGCUUGGUAAGCGCGUGGUGAAAGCCCGGGGCUCAACCCCGGGUCUGCCAUGCGAACUACUAUGGCUUGAGCACUGUAGAGGCAACUGGAAUUCUCGGUGUAGCGGUGGAAUGCGUAGAGAUCGGGAAGAACACCAGUGGCGAAGGCGACGUGCUGGGUUGCACCUGACGCUGAGAUGCGAAAGUGUGGGGAGCAAACAGG
RNAcentral lists this ribosomal RNA (254 nucleotides) under uncultured bacterium. RNAcentral describes it as "partial 16S ribosomal RNA". It matches the Rfam family "Bacterial small subunit ribosomal RNA", at positions 524 to 776 of the family's 1533-position model. The record is from RNAcentral.